RNAcentral lists this ribosomal RNA (131 nucleotides) under Acaulospora sp. Its description in RNAcentral is "partial small subunit ribosomal RNA". It matches the Rfam family "Eukaryotic small subunit ribosomal RNA", at positions 1651 to 1779 of the family's 1831-position model. The record is from RNAcentral. Lineage: Eukaryota; Fungi; Glomeromycota; Glomeromycetes; Diversisporales; Acaulosporaceae.
CCCUGCCCUUUGUACACACCGCCCGUCGCUACUACCGAUUGAAUGGCUUAGUGAGACCCUCGGAUUGGGUUUUAAGAACCGGCAACGGAUCUUUUCUUCUAAGAAGUUUGUCAAACUUGGUCAUUUAGAGG